Equus caballus (horse) is the source of this 3804-nucleotide non-coding RNA. NCBI's taxonomy places the organism in Eukaryota, Metazoa, Chordata, Mammalia, Perissodactyla, Equidae. The record is from RefSeq and is a predicted model, not a curated record.
CCCUGGGUUGACAGUUUUUAUUUCAGCAUUUGAAAAAUGUUUGUGCCACUUCCUUCUGGCCUCCAUGGUUUCUGAUGGGAAAUCUGCUAUCAUUCAAGUUGGUUUUCUUGUAUAUGUAAGAUGUUGUUUCUCUCUGUUUUCAAGAUUUUUUGUCAUUAGUUGUUUUUUUUUACUUUCUAUUAUAGGUCCAAAUUUUAUUAUAUUAAGUAGGCAUAAAUUUACAUUUAAAUAAAUAUAAGAAAAAAUACUGUCUUUAGUUUUGAGAAGUUUGACUUGAUAGGGAUUUCUUAAUCCUGUUUGUGAUUUACUUACUUCUUGAAUCUGUAGGUUUAUGUCUUUAGCCAGAUUUGGAAGCUUUUAGCCAUUAUUUCUUCAAGUGUUUUUUCAGUCUGAUUGUCUUUCUCCUUUCCUACUGGGAUUCAGAUGACUUGAAUGUUAGAUUUUUUUGUUAUGGGCCUAUAGGUCCCUGAGGCUCUGUUCAUUUUUUUUUUCAGUGUGUUUUCUUUCUGUUGCUCAGAUUGGGCAAUUUCUAUUGCUCUAUAUUCCAAUCCACAGAUUUCUUUCUUCUAACCCCUCUAUUCCGCUGUUGAACCCAUCCACUGAGUUUUAAACUUUAGUUAAUUUUCAUUUUAAAUUUCCAUUUGGUUCUCCUUUAUAUCUUCUAUUUCUUUGCUGAGACUUUCAAUUUUUUCUUUUUUCAAGCAUGUUCCUAAUUGCUUGUUGAAGCAUUUUUAAGAUGGCUGCUUUAGAAUCUUUGUUAGAUAAUUCUAAUAUCUCUCUCAUUUUAGUGUUGGUAUCUAUUGAUCUUUUUUCUUUCAAGUUGAACUUUUCCUAAUUCUUGGUGUAAUGAAUGACUUUCAGUUGAAACCUGGACAUUUUGGAUAUUAUGAGACUCUGGAUCUUAAACCUUUUGUUUUAACUGGCUUGUCUGAGACUAAUCAGGUAAGGGAAGGGAGGAACACUGCCUUGUUGCUGCCAGGUGGUGGGAGAAGUCCAGAGUCACUGCUUGGCCUCUGCUGAUCCUGGAGUGGGAACGGGCCCCUAGUUACUACUGAGCAGAGAUGGGAGUUCUGGAUCCCACUAGGCAUUGACUAAUACCACCCUGGUUGGGAGGGGUUGGAAUGCCUUGUUACUGUUCCUCAUGUGGCCCCUAUUGACACCACAGGAAGGUGGCCCCAUUACCUCUGGGCACUGGUGAGUCUUGACUCUACUAGGCCUCCUCUGUCACCACCCAACAGGGAUAGGGAGGGGUGCCUUGUUACUUCUGAGUAUGGGUGAAAGUUCAGACUCCCUAUGUGGUCUCCGCUGACACCAAGUGGGUAGAGGCCUCGUUAUUGUCAGGUGGGGAUGAAAGUCCCAGUUCCCUAUGGCCUUCUCUGAUACUACCUCAGUGUGUGUGUGUGACUGGGGUGGGGGUGAAGGAGCAAUUAUAGCCUAGUGAGGCAGGAAGUCUGGGCUCCCACUCCCCCUUUGCUGGUGUGGGCAGAAGUGGGGCUACUGUUUUUCCUGUGGUUUUUAGCUGGAGUAAGUUGUAACUGUCUAAAAGUUUUAAGUCUUAUUAGGCUGCCCCUCUCCUGGUCUUUUGCCUAGAGAAAACAGGCUUUUGCUGGGAAUUUUUUUUGUUUGCUCCUAUUGGCAUUUCUAGGUUGGCAGCUUCUUCAGCUCCAAGUAUUGGAUAUAUAAGGCUAAAAGAAAACCCAGGGAACUCAUCACCAGGUUGUACCUUGGAUCUGAAAGUCCCUAGCCUAUCUGCUUUCUCAUGUCCUAUAUAUAAUGUCCAGGCUUUUUAGUUGUACUUAGUGGGAGCAAUAGGGAAAAGUAUAUCUACUCCAUUUUCCUGGAAGCACAAGUCAAGAUGUAAUUUUAAAAUAUUAGAUGACUUCACAUUUUUGGAAUUGCAUAGAAAUCUAUUUACCACCAGUAUGGAAAAUCCGCCACUAGAAUAAUGUCUGGCACAUGGUAGGGAUUCAGUGAGUCAGUGAAUCCCCACUUUACCAAUCAUAAAAUUUAGGGAAUUAAGUAAUUUCUCCUAAGUCACAUAGUUCGUAAUGGGAAGAACUGGGAUUCAAACUUGGGCAGUCUGAGUCCAAAGCUCAGAUUCUCAGAAGCAUCACCAGGGCACUUGUGAAAUUCAAGGCCCCUGUUGUUCUCUGAUGACAAAGGAUGAGUGAGAGGGAGCCCCCACUUGAGACAGUGACAAAGUGACAACAUAACACUUUUCUACUGAAUUAACAAUGUCCUUUUAUUCUGCAAGCAAAUGCCCAAUGCUGUCAUCUCUCCUUCCAUUCACUGCCCAACUUCCUGCCUAGUGUCUUAACUACUUCCCAAAUUCCUAUGCAAAGGGGGUUCCACUCCACUUUCUGUUCUGCAGCUACCUUUUUUCCAUCCCCAAAGACCAAAUGCAAUAGUGUCUUCCCAAUUCUCAUCCAUUUAAAAUUUUCUGCAGUGUUUCCUAAUGUUAUUCACCACUUCCCAAACUUCUCCUUACUCUUGACUUUCAUGACCCUCCACUUUCUUGAUUUGCUCUCCAUCCCAUUGAUUGCUUUCUCUCUCCUCUUUUUACUCCCAUCCUUCCAAUGACAGAAUUCCUCAAUUUUUCUUUUCUCUUCAUUGUCCAGUCUCAUUCUCAGAGAGCUUGUCUAAGCUCACAGCCUCAACAAGGCUGGUAAAUACACUCAUUCAUUCAUUCAUUCAUUCAGUGUUCAUUUACUGAACACCAGCUGUGUACCAGGCAUUGCUCUAUAGCAGGGCACAAGGUAAACAAGAUGGCUCUUUUUAGGGAGUUUAUAUUCUAGUGGAAGACAGUAACCAAACAAAAACAACAAAUCAGUUAGUUACAGAGCCAUAUAGCAUUUUGACAAUAUUAAUCAAACUUGUAAACUUUUGUAAGCAUAAUCUCAAUUAUCUAUUAGAUUCUAAAAUUACUGAGGGUAAGAAUUUUGUUGUUUCCAUAAGACUUACGCUAUCACUUUGUACUUAUUUGUAUGAUGGUUUACUUUAAAGAUGUGCUUUCACAUAGUUGGUGAUUUAAAAAAUCUGUUGAAUGAUUAAAUAUUAAUUUUUUUAAGAACUUAAUUUAUAAAUAUCUCACAGCAGUUUAAUGUGUUCUUGAUGUUACACAAUGACUUUGAAACCUGCCCAGCCACAUACCAGCUGUGCAGUCUGGGGCAAGUUACUCAACCUCUCUACCUUCGUUAUUCUCGUCUCUUUCACUCAUGAACCUCAUACCCAGACAAGGACUCAGCUCAAGGCAUGCACCUUGAGGGACCUCUGUAUCUUAAGGGGAGGGCCUCUUUUUUGAUUAAAUGAAAUUAAAUGAGUUAAUACCUGUAAAGUGCUUAGUGCCUGGCAUUUAGUAAGUAUUCCAUGUAUGUUUGCUAUUUUAAUCUAUUUAUGUACACACUCUAUCUUUCAGAGAAUAUGAGGUCAUUAGAUAUUAUCUGUUGAAAUCUUACUGAUGUUAAGGUUUAAGUUUGGACUUUUACGUCUUGGAUGCUUUAAUGACUUUGUUAUCAAACAAAUAAAGAGAAGAAAUGCAUUUUUACCUCUUUCAACUUCAGAGAAUGAGCUUCUAAAAGACACACAGAGGACAGAGGAACAUAUGAAGGUGCACCAAGGGAGCACAACCAGCAGAAUCCAAAGCGGCGGAGACUCUGUGCUCAAACAACGUCGUUUCUUCAAAAGUAAACCACAAGGGGGUGGGGAGAAUCCACAAAGGAAAAGAGACUUCAGAGCCUAUCAACCAAUGCUAGUCUGUGGUCUAAUUUGAAUCCUGAUUCAAAUAAAGUGAUUUUUAAAAAUGGA